CAUGAUUCCCGCCAUUAGAACAAAAAGCAUUGUACAUUUUUACAUAAAAUAAACAUUUGAUUGUUUUAUUCAGAGCCGCUUUUAUUUAAGCGUCCUAAAAUGGUGAUCCAGAUAUGAAAUAAAUUAUAUUAUUCAAUCAACGCAACGCGACGAACGAGUGAUCACGAUUCAUCAUCGUCAAAUAUUUUGUGCGUCAUACCACGGUUUGUCUAAGUUUUAAUAGUAUUAUUACAGAUGGGCUGCGUUAAACCAUCAUACCGAUUUCGGUGGUGAAGCAGUUAUGCGUUCGGGUUUUAAGGGUGGAGCAGCGUACUAUAAAAAUGAGACGUAGAAGUCAAGUCUCAAGUCGGGUUACGACAUUUAAGUUGUUGAUGCCCCGUUGCUGCUCCGGUAACCACUUAAAAGUCCAUCGGCGGAGAGAUCGUUCACCAAUAGCUCACACGAAGGCCCCUCGAGUGAUGAGACGGCGAACUUCAGAAGUUCAAGAUAAUCAAUUUUAUACACAAGCGCCAGUUGUUAAUAGAUUUUAUUUAAUCUAAAGUUCGAAUUCAACAUCUGCUAAAACAAAUGGGAGCGUUAGCGUUAAUGGCAAUUUUUUCUAAUCGUUCGGUAUGCAGUUAACGACAGUGAAACAAAAAGAUGGACAUAGUACAAGUUUCACGAGUAAGUCUUCGAGGCAUCGGCAUCGUCUCGUGCGAAUGAUUUGUAUUUCAACGUAUGUGUUUGUCAUUAAAUAAUCGAAGCUAUAACAAGAAACGAAAGAGAAGAAAUAUGUAAGUACCAUUUACUGUCAUUACUUCGAUGUUUGCGAGCGUGCGGCUGUGCCUCGGUCAUUUGUUGUCGACAAAUUAAUAAAUUUUGCUGCAUUAAGGCUACUACUUACUUAUGAUGCUGUCUGCAGUAUAUUAAGAACGCCCAAGACUGCUUUAAUAGGUUUAUGUACAAAUAUGUAUGUGUUAAUUUGAAAACGAAUACUCUUAACAAAAUGUUUCAUGAACAGAACUUGAUAAUUAAGUAAUUAUGGUAUUGAGGAAUUAAAAUUAAACAUAUUGUAUUCUACUA
This is a long non-coding RNA of Bombyx mori (domestic silkworm), 1062 nucleotides long. RefSeq lists it as uncharacterized. The record is from RefSeq and is a predicted model, not a curated record. Lineage: Eukaryota; Metazoa; Arthropoda; Insecta; Lepidoptera; Bombycidae. The transcript has 3 exons.